This 886-nucleotide ribosomal RNA is filed under the name Microbacterium sp. RNAcentral describes it as "bacterial SSU rRNA". It matches the Rfam family "Bacterial small subunit ribosomal RNA", at positions 61 to 957 of the family's 1533-position model. The record is from RNAcentral. Lineage: Bacteria; Bacillati; Actinomycetota; Actinomycetes; Micrococcales; Microbacteriaceae.
GUCGACGGUGAAGCCAAGCUUGCUUGGUGGAUCAGUGGCGAACGGGUGAGUAACACGUGAGCAACCUGCCCUGGACUCUGGGAUAAGCGCUGGAAACGGCGUCUAAUACUGGAUAUGAGCUCUCAUCGCAUGGUGGGGGUUGGAAAGAUUUUUCGGUUUGGGAUGGGCUCGCGGCCUAUCAGCUUGUUGGUGAGGUAAUGGCUCACCAAGGCGUCGACGGGUAGCCGGCCUGAGAGGGUGACCGGCCACACUGGGACUGAGACACGGCCCAGACUCCUACGGGAGGCAGCAGUGGGGAAUAUUGCACAAUGGGCGCAAGCCUGAUGCAGCAACGCCGCGUGAGGGAUGACGGCCUUCGGGUUGUAAACCUCUUUUGGUAGGGAAGAAGCCUUCGGGUGACGGUACCUGCAGAAAAAGCGCCGGCUAACUACGUGCCAGCAGCCGCGGUAAUACGUAGGGCGCAAGCGUUAUCCGGAAUUAUUGGGCGUAAAGAGCUCGUAGGCGGUCUGUCGCGUCUGCUGUGAAAUUCCGAGGCUCAACCUCGGGCUUGCAGUGGGUACGGGCAGACUAGAGUGCGGUAGGGGAGAUUGGAAUUCCUGGUGUAGCGGUGGAAUGCGCAGAUAUCAGGAGGAACACCGAUGGCGAAGGCAGAUCUCUGGGCCGUUACUGACGCUGAGGAGCGAAAGGGUGGGGAGCAAACAGGCUUAGAUACCCUGGUAGUCCACCCCGUAAACGUUGGGAACUAGUUGUGGGGUCCUUUCCACGGAUUCCGUGACGUAGCUAACGCAUUAAGUUCCCCGCCUGGGGAGUACGGCCGCAAGGCUAAAACUCAAAGGAAUUGACGGGGACCCGCACAAGCGGCGGAGCAUGCGGAUUAAUUCGAUGC